This 253-nucleotide ribosomal RNA is filed under the name uncultured bacterium. RNAcentral describes it as "partial 16S ribosomal RNA". It matches the Rfam family "Bacterial small subunit ribosomal RNA", at positions 524 to 776 of the family's 1533-position model. The record is from RNAcentral.
UACGUAGGCAGCAAGCGUUGUUCGGAAUUACUGGGCGUAAAGAGUGUGUAGGCGGUGCUCUAAGUUUGGUGUGAAAUCUCCCGGCUCAACUGGGAGGGUGCGCCGGAAACUGGAGUGCUUGAGCGUGGGAGAGGAAAGCGGAAUUCCUGGUGUAGCGGUGAAAUGCGUAGAUAUCAGGAGGAACACCUGUGGUGUAGACGGCUUUCUGGACCAUAGCUGACGCUGAGACACGAAAGCGUGGGUAGCAAACAGG